This 538-nucleotide ribosomal RNA is filed under the name Pseudochattonella farcimen. RNAcentral's name for it is "eukaryotic LSU rRNA". It matches the Rfam family "Eukaryotic large subunit ribosomal RNA", at positions 34 to 669 of the family's 3401-position model. Lineage: Eukaryota; Dictyochophyceae; Florenciellales. The record is from RNAcentral.
UUAAGCAUAUAACUAGGCCGAGGAAAAGAAACUAACCAGGAUUCCCCCAGUAACGGCGAGUGAAGCGGGAGAAGCCCAUGCUGCCAACCGCUCCGGCGGGUUGUGCCAGGCGUGCCUGGUGAGGUCCCGGGGAGAAAUUCUUUGGAACAAGGUAUCAGAGAGGGUGACAAUCCCGUCUGUGCCUCGGGGUCCUCGCGUGAAGGCCGUCCUAGUGGAGUCGAGUUGCUUGGGAUUGCAGCUCAAAGUCGGUGGUAAAUUCCAUCGAAGGCUAAAUACGGGUGGGAGACCGAUAGCGAACAAGUACUGUGAAGGAAAGAUGAAAAGAACUUUGAAAAGAGAGUUAAAGAGUGCCUGAAAUUGCUGAGAGGGAACCGAAGGUGAUCAGUGGGGGCCGCUGCCAUUUUUCGUGUUCCGACCUCGGAGCACGCCCUGUGGCAGGGGCCCGCUCCGCGCCGUCGCGUCCGGCCGUAAGCUUGGGGCCGGGGGCGCCGGGGCGGAGGAAAUGGUCCUCUUUACCCCGUCUUGAAACACGGACCCA